Molecule: ribosomal RNA, 463 nt
Filed under: uncultured bacterium
Lineage: Bacteria
Description: partial 16S ribosomal RNA
Rfam family: Bacterial small subunit ribosomal RNA
Source: RNAcentral
GAUGAACGCUGACAGAAUGCUUAACACAUGCAAGUCGAUGGGGAAGUGGUGCUUGCACCAUGGUAACCAUGGCGGACGGGUGAGUAACGCGUAAGGAGCUUGCCUGCGGGACUGGGAUAACAGCAGGAAACUGCUGAUAAUACCGGAUAAGGUCAUUAAGCUGCAUAGCUUAGUGAUGAAAGGAGACGCCUGCGGAGAGCCUUGCGUCCUAUUAGCUAGUUGGAGGGGUAACGGCCCACCAAGGCGAAGAUAGGUAGCCGGCCUGAGAGGGUGGACGGCCACAAGGGGACUGAGAUACGGCCCUUACUCCUACGGGAGGCAGCAGUGGGGAAUAUUGGACAAUGGGGGCAACCCUGAUCCAGCAAUUCUGUGUGCACGAAGACGGUUUUCGGAUUGUAAAGUGCUUUCAGCAGGGAAGAAGGAAGUGACGGUACCUGCAGAAGAAGCGACGGCUAAAUACGUG